This 253-nucleotide ribosomal RNA is filed under the name uncultured bacterium. RNAcentral's name for it is "partial 16S ribosomal RNA". It matches the Rfam family "Bacterial small subunit ribosomal RNA", at positions 524 to 776 of the family's 1533-position model. The record is from RNAcentral.
UACGUAGGGUGCAGGCGUUAAUCGGAAUUACUGGGCGUAAAGCGUGCGCAGGCGGUUUGCUAAGACAGGUGUGAAAUCCCCGGGCUUAACCUGGGAACUGCGCUUGUUACUGGCAGGCUUGAGUGUGGCAGAGGGGGGUGGAAUUCCACGUGUAGCAGUGAAAUGCGUAGAGAUGUGGAGGAACACCAACGGCGAAAGCACUCUGCUGGGCCGACACUGACACUGAGAGACGAAAGCUAGGGGAGCGAAUGGG